AGAGUUUGAUCCUGGCUCAGGAUGAACGCUAGCUACAGGCUUAACACAUGCAAGUCGAGCGGUUUGUGCUUUUGCACAUACAGCGGCAGACGGGUGAGUAACACGUAUCUAACCUUCCCCUUACUUGGGCAUAGCCUCUGGAAACGGAGAUUAAUUUCCGAUGUGGUGUACAUUUCGCAUGUUUUGCGCACCAAAGAUUUAUCGGUAAGGGAUGGGGAUGCGCUCCAUUAGGUUGUAGGUAGGGUAAUGGCCUACCUAGCCUAUGAUGGAUAGGGGUUCUGAGAGGAAGGUCCCCCACAUUGGAACUGCGACACGGUCCAAACUCCUACGGGAGGCAGCAGUGAGGAAUAUUGGUCAAUGGCCGGAAGGCUGAACCAGCCAAGUAGCGUGCAGGAUGACUGCCUUAUGGGUUGUAAACUGCUUUUUUACGGGAAUAAUUAUGAUCACGUGUGAUUAUUUGCAUGUACCGUAAGAAUAAGGAUCGGCUAACUCCGUGCCAGCAGCCGCGGUAAUACGGAGGAUCCUAGUGUUAUCCGGAUUUAUUGGGUUUAAAGGGAGCGUAGGCGGGAGGUCAAGUCAGCUGUGAAAUGUAUCUGCUUAACGGGUACACUGCAGUUGAAACUGGUUUUCUUGAGUGCGUAAGAGGCAGGCGGAAUUCGUUGUGUAGCGGUGAAAUGCUUAGAUAUGACGAGGAGCUCCUAUUGCGAAGGCAGCUUGCUGGGUCGUUACUGACGCUGAUGCUCGAAGGUGCGGGGAUCAAACAGGAUUAGAUACCCUGGUAGUCCGCACAGUAAACUAUGGAUACUCUCUGCCGGCGAUACAUUGUCGGUGGCCAAGCGAAAGCGUUAAGUAUCCCACCUGGGGAGUACGUUCGCAAGAAUGAAACUCAAAGGAAUUGACGG
Molecule: ribosomal RNA, 902 nt
Filed under: uncultured bacterium
Lineage: Bacteria
Description: bacterial SSU rRNA
Rfam family: Bacterial small subunit ribosomal RNA
Source: RNAcentral